RNAcentral lists this ribosomal RNA (553 nucleotides) under Meriones meridianus (mid-day jird). RNAcentral describes it as "partial large subunit ribosomal RNA". It matches the Rfam family "Bacterial large subunit ribosomal RNA", at positions 1811 to 2594 of the family's 2925-position model. The record is from RNAcentral. Lineage: Eukaryota; Metazoa; Chordata; Mammalia; Rodentia; Muridae.
CAACAUCACCUCUAGCAUUACAAGUAAUUAGAGGCAAUGCCUGCCCAGUGACUAAGGUUUAACGGCCGCGGUAUUCUGACCGUGCAAAGGUAGCAUAAUCACUUGUUCCUUAAUUAGGGACUAGAAUGAACGGCUAAACGAGGGUUUAACUGUCUCUUAUUUUUCAUCCGUGAAACUGAUAUCCCCGUGAAGAGGCGGGAAUAACACAACUAGACGAGAAGACCCUGUGGAGCUUUAAUUUAUUAACUUAAUUUCAAUAACCUUUAAUCUAGCAGAGAUAAAAACUGAAAGAUAAGUUGAUGAUUUAGGUUGGGGUGACCUCGGAGAACAAAAUAACCUCCGAAAGAUUUCAAUCAAGACUGACAAGUCAAAAUAAGCACAGCUAUCACAUCGACCCAUUAAUUUUGAUCGACGAACCAAGUUACCCUAGGGAUAACAGCGCAAUCUCAUUUAAGAGUUCAUAUCGAAAAUGGGGUUUACGACCUCGAUGUUGGAUCAGGAUAUCCCAAUGGUGCAGCCGCUAUUAAUGGUUCGUUUGUUCAACGAUUAAAGU